RNAcentral lists this long non-coding RNA (385 nucleotides) under Homo sapiens (human). RNAcentral describes it as "non-protein coding lnc-MPDZ-2:2". Lineage: Eukaryota; Metazoa; Chordata; Mammalia; Primates; Hominidae. The record is from RNAcentral.
GGAAAUUCCACAAAGAAAACAGAACACUCCAAAAGCGGGAAACUGACUUUACGUUUACCAGAUCCACCAGGUCAAAUGUGAAGGUUUUCAAAUCACCAACGAGUCUCAUUUCGUAUGUGGAAAAGAAAACAUAAAGAGAGAGAUACAUUUUCAGCAUCUUGUGUUGCUGAAAUAUUCAAUUUCUAGUAAUUUCUCCAUUGAGCAUGUAAUUUUUUAUUUGAGUGAUGACCAUGACUAUUUUCACUAUUGACAGCUUCAGUCCUACUGCCAACCGUGUUAGUUACUUUACUUGUUUAAAUCUGAGUUGUUGUAAAAAAAAAAAAAAAAAGUGAAGAAAAACACUCAUAAUUUUUCUCUCAUGUUUUCUUCUUAGUUUAUCUGUGAC